Molecule: long non-coding RNA, 1324 nt
Organism: Homo sapiens (human)
Lineage: Eukaryota; Metazoa; Chordata; Mammalia; Primates; Hominidae
Product: long intergenic non-protein coding RNA 1478
Source: Ensembl
UCUUAUCACCAAACUGUUUUGAAAGAUAAAAGUACUUCCUGAAUAUGUGGAUGGUGAGCCACGUGAAUGGAAGACAUGGAGAUAUGGACUGUUAACACCUUGUCAAACAUUUAUUGUCCCUUCCACCUCUAAACUUCUGUGAUAAUAGGUGAACAGGACCCACGUGGUGCAGAAUACUGCGAUACACACUGCGGAAUAAUUCAGGGACUGGGAGUUGGAGAGGGGAGACUGGAGAGAGUAGGAAGGUUUUGGUAUCAAGAUGAUGCUGGCCUCAUAAAUUGAGGCAGGUCCCUGAUGCUGUUAUUCCUGACUGUGUGAGACCUCUGAACAGAGGGGAAGAAGCUGGCUGCAAUCUUUGCUGUUUCACGGCCUUCAUUUGUGAUACAUCCAGAAAACUGCAGCAGCCCUAUGAUAGAGUAGCCUGAUGGUUGAAAACAACAACAACAUCAACAAGAAAGACCCAACUAAAAUCUCAUUCAAAGAAGAAAGAGACAUUAUACAAAUGCAAGCUGUUGUCACAACAAUGAUAAGAAAUCAGGAGUCGAAAGAUGUGGAGUAAGGGGGAAUUUCAGAGAAACCACAAAACACAAAAUAGGAAACAGAGACAGGAGAAGAUUGCUAUGACAAAAUUGCAGAAGGUGAAAUCUUUGGCAGCCUCUUAUUUCUCUGGAGAAUAUGAUAUUGUCAGGCUGAGGUGGAAGAAUCACAUGGUCAUACUGUUGAAGAGGUCUUGAAACAUUGGGCUUUCCUCUACAAGCGGAAGGAUAGCACUGGCAGCCAUCCACUGGCCCAGCAAUAUCCUGGAUUGAGACGAUAUCAUUUGCAUUACUUGCUGAAUGAAACAUAGUGAAAAUGACUGCAGAUAACCUCAACUAAGUCCAAGAUAUCAUUUUCAAAUCUGGACCAGCCCUUGCCAUCUAGACUGAACAGAGAUUCCAGUUUCCAGGAGAGUAGAUGGAGUAAUGAUAAAAGCACCUCCCAAAACUUUUGCCUUGGUACUACAGAGUGGCACAUAACUAAACAUUAUCAAGGAAUUUUACAGCCCUAGGCCUUCUAUUACUGUGUAUUACAGUCUGCUGUAAUCAUUCUAAUGGUCUAAGAUGUUGCAAGUAAUUUACUCACGGCCUGAACACCAGAAGUGCCAAAAUUGCCUGGGAGUUUUAUUCUGCAUCCAACCAGUACCAGGAAGGAGGAUGUAUUACUUCUCGUUUCUCUACAAGUGUCAGUGCAAAUCCAGCCAUCAAACAAAACUUAGACCUAAAAGCUUUUAGAUUACAGCGAUUAUUGCAGAUUUUACAUGAGAUAAAAAUGUAAUUGCUCCAUU